RNAcentral lists this ribosomal RNA (274 nucleotides) under uncultured bacterium. RNAcentral's name for it is "partial 16S ribosomal RNA". It matches the Rfam family "Bacterial small subunit ribosomal RNA", at positions 523 to 796 of the family's 1533-position model. The record is from RNAcentral.
AUACGGAGGGUCCAAGCGUUAUCCGGAUUCAUUGGGUUUAAAGGGUCCGCAGGCGGGGAAAUAAGUCAGUGGUGAAAGCCUACAGCUCAACUGUAGAACUGCCAUUGAUACUGUUUUUCUUGAGUAUAGAUGAAGUGGGCGGAAUAUAUCAUGUAGCGGUGAAAUGCAUAGAUAUGAUAUAGAACACCGAUUGCGAAGGCAGCUCACUAAACUAUUACUGACGCUCAGGGACGAAAGCGUGGGGAGCGAACAGGAUUAGAAACCCCAGUAGUCC